AAUUCCAGCUCCAAUAGUGUAUAUUAGAGUUGUUGCAGUUAAAAAGCUCGUAGUUGGAUUUCUGCUGUGGUCAUCCGGUACCGCCCGUACGGGUGCGCACCUGGUUUGGCUGCGGCUUUCUUCCUGUAGCCUUCCGCGCUUAAUUGCGUGUGUUGUGUUGCGGAACUUUUACUUUGAGAAAAAUAGAGUGUUUCAAGCAGGCUUGUCGCCCUGAAUACUUCAGCAUGGAAUAAUAGGAUAGGACCUUGGUUCUAUUUUGUUGGUUUCUAGGACCAAGGUAAUGAUUAAUAGGGACAGUUGGGGGCAUUCGUAUUUAACUGUCAGAGGUGAAAUUCUUAGAUUUGUUAAAGACGAACUACUGCGAAAGCAUUUGCCAAGGAUGUUUUCAUUAAUCAAGAACGACAGUAGGGGGUUUGAAGACGAUUAGAUACCGUCGUAAUCUCUACCAUAAACUAUGCCGACUAGAGAUAGGGAAAUGCCUACCUUGGCUUCUCCUG
Molecule: ribosomal RNA, 497 nt
Filed under: Eimeria auburnensis
Lineage: Eukaryota; Apicomplexa; Conoidasida; Eucoccidiorida; Eimeriidae
Description: SSU rRNA
Rfam family: Eukaryotic small subunit ribosomal RNA
Source: RNAcentral